UGUCUCCUCCAACUCUCCUCAGAAAAGAAUUGGAUUUCAAGCCCGCUCCACACAGCGGGCUUUUUUUC
Molecule: non-coding RNA, 68 nt
Filed under: Massilia sp. KIM
Lineage: Bacteria; Pseudomonadati; Pseudomonadota; Betaproteobacteria; Burkholderiales; Oxalobacteraceae
Description: Betaproteobacteria toxic small RNA
Rfam family: Betaproteobacteria toxic small RNA
About the family: Overexpression in amino aid rich medium attenuates growth, suggesting role in repressing amino acid intake and metabolism.
Source: Rfam by way of RNAcentral